Molecule: ribosomal RNA, 965 nt
Filed under: uncultured Fusobacterium sp.
Lineage: Bacteria; Fusobacteriati; Fusobacteriota; Fusobacteriia; Fusobacteriales; Fusobacteriaceae
Description: bacterial SSU rRNA
Rfam family: Bacterial small subunit ribosomal RNA (bases 1-790)
Source: RNAcentral
GACGAACGCUGGCGGCGUGCCUAAUACAUGCAAGUAGAACGCACAGGAUGCACCGUAGUUUACUACACCGUAUUCUGUGAGUUGCGAACGGGUGAGUAACGCGUAGGUAACCUGCCUGGUAGCGGGGGAUAACUAUUGGAAACGAUAGCUAGUACCGUAUAAGAACAUUUACUGCAUGGUAGAUGUUUAAAAGGUGCAAGAGCAUCACUACCAGAUGGACCUGCGUUGUAUUAGCUAGUUGGUGAGGUAACGGCUCACCAAGGCAACGAUACAUAGCCGACCUGAGAGGGUGAUCGGCCACACUGGGACUGAGACACGGCCCAGACUCCUACGGGAGGCAGCAGUAGGGAAUCUUCGGCAAUGGGGGGAACCCUGACCGAGCAACGCCGCGUGAGUGAAGAAGGUUUUCGGAUCGUAAAGCUCUGUUGUUAAGGAAGAACGUGUGUGAGAGUGGAAAGUUCACACAGUGACGGUACUUAACCAGAAAGGGACGGCUAACUACGUGCCAGCAGCCGCGGUAAUACGUAUGUCCCGAGCGUUGUCCGGAUUUAUUGGGCGUAAAGCGAGCUCAGGCGUUUAGAUAAGUCUGAAGUGAAAGGCUGUGGCUCAACCAUUGUAGGCUUUGGAAAUCUGUUUAACUUGAGUGCAGAAGGGAGAGUGGAAUUUCCAUGUGUAUCGGUUGAAAUGCGUAGAUUGUAUGGAGGAACACCGGUGUGCGAAAGCGUUCGCUUGUUCUGCUACUGACUCUGACGCUCGUGUUCUGUGUGUGAUGAACAUGAUUAUAUCCUUGGGUUUUCCUGUUGUGAUUCUUUGUGGAUUUCUAGCUGUGUGCUACUGUGUGUCCUCUGGUGUGUGUAGUAACAAUUAUGUGUUGUAUUUUCUGGUGUCUGCUUUUUUUUUCUUUGCCCUGUGCUGUUACAAAAUGCAUGUGUGUGCUGAUUGUCUAUGACCACGAGAUGCUCUAC